GGGUUGUGAGGUUAAGCGACUAAGCGUACACGGUGGAUGCCCUGGCAGUCAGAGGCGAUGAAGGACGUGCUAAUCUGCGAUAAGCGUCGGUGAGGUGAUAUGAACCGUUAUAACCGGCGAUUUCCGAAUGGGGAAACCCAGUGUGUUUCGACACACUAUCAUUAACUGAAUCCAUAGGUUAAUGAGGCGAACCGGGGGAACUGAAACAUCUAAGUACCCCGAGGAAAAGAAAUCAACCGAGAUUCCCCCAGUAGCGGCGAGCGAACGGGGAGCAGCCCAGAGCCUGAAUCAGUGUGUGUGUUAGUGGAAGCGUCUGGAAAGGCGUGCGAUACAGGGUGACAGCCCCGUACACAAAAAUGCACAUACUGUGAGCUCGAUGAGUAGGGCGGGACACGUGGUAUCCUGUCUGAAUAUGGGGGGACCAUCCUCCAAGGCUAAAUACUCCUGACUGACCGAUAGUGAACCAGUACCGUGAGGGAAAGGCGAAAAGAACCCCGGCGAGGGGAGUGAAAAAGAACCUGAAACCGUGUACGUACAAGCAGUGGGAGCCUCUUAAUGGGGUGACUGCGUACCUUUUGUAUAAUGGGUCAGCGACUUAUAUUCUGUAGCAAGGUUAACCGAAUAGGGGAGCCGAAGGGAAACCGAGUCUUAACUGGGCGUUAAGUUGCAGGGUAUAGACCCGAAACCCGGUGAUCUAGCCAUGGGCAGGUUGAAGGUUGGGUAACACUAACUGGAGGACCGAACCGACUAAUGUUGAAAAAUUAGCGGAUGACUUGUGGCUGGGGGUGAAAGGCCAAUCAAACCGGGAGAUAGCUGGUUCUCCCCGAAAGCUAUUUAGGUAGCGCCUCGUGAAUUCAUCUCCGGGGGUAGAGCACUGUUUCGGCAAGGGGGUCAUCCCGACUUACCAACCCGAUGCAAACUGCGAAUACCGGAGAAUGUUAUCACGGGAGACACACGGCGGGUGCUAACGUCCGUCGUGAAGAGGGAAACAACCCAGACCGCCAGCUAAGGUCCCAAAGUCAUGGUUAAGUGGGAAACGAUGUGGGAAGGCCCAGACAGCCAGGAUGUUGGCUUAGAAGCAGCCAUCAUUUAAAGAAAGCGUAAUAGCUCACUGGUCGAGUCGGCCUGCGCGGAAGAUGUAACGGGGCUAAACCAUGCACCGAAGCUGCGGCAGCGACACUAUGUGUUGUUGGGUAGGGGAGCGUUCUGUAAGCCUGCGAAGGUGUACUGUGAGGUAUGCUGGAGGUAUCAGAAGUGCGAAUGCUGACAUAAGUAACGAUAAAGCGGGUGAAAAGCCCGCUCGCCGGAAGACCAAGGGUUCCUGUCCAACGUUAAUCGGGGCAGGGUGAGUCGACCCCUAAGGCGAGGCCGAAAGGCGUAGUCGAUGGGAAACAGGUUAAUAUUCCUGUACUUGGUGUUACUGCGAAGGGGGGACGGAGAAGGCUAUGUUGGCCGGGCGACGGUUGUCCCGGUUUAAGCGUGUAGGCUGGUUUUCCAGGCAAAUCCGGAAAAUCAAGGCUGAGGCGUGAUGACGAGGCACUACGGUGCUGAAGCAACAAAUGCCCUGCUUCCAGGAAAAGCCUCUAAGCAUCAGGUAACAUCAAAUCGUACCCCAAACCGACACAGGUGGUCAGGUAGAGAAUACCAAGGCGCUUGAGAGAACUCGGGUGAAGGAACUAGGCAAAAUGGUGCCGUAACUUCGGGAGAAGGCACGCUGAUAUGUAGGUGAAGUCCCUCGCGGAUGGAGCUGAAAUCAGUCGAAGAUACCAGCUGGCUGCAACUGUUUAUUAAAAACACAGCACUGUGCAAACACGAAAGUGGACGUAUACGGUGUGACGCCUGCCCGGUGCCGGAAGGUUAAUUGAUGGGGUUAGCGGUAACGCGAAGCUCUUGAUCGAAGCCCCGGUAAACGGCGGCCGUAACUAUAACGGUCCUAAGGUAGCGAAAUUCCUUGUCGGGUAAGUUCCGACCUGCACGAAUGGCGUAAUGAUGGCCAGGCUGUCUCCACCCGAGACUCAGUGAAAUUGAACUCGCUGUGAAGAUGCAGUGUACCCGCGGCAAGACGGAAAGACCCCGUGAACCUUUACUAUAGCUUGACACUGAACAUUGAGCCUUGAUGUGUAGGAUAGGUGGGAGGCUUUGAAGUGUGGACGCCAGUCUGCAUGGAGCCGGCCUUGAAAUACCACCCUUUAAUGUUUGAUGUUCUAACGUUGGCCCCUGAUCGGGGUUGCGGACAGUGUCUGGUGGGUAGUUUGACUGGGGCGGUCUCCUCCUAAAGAGUAACGGAGGAGCACGAAGGUUGGCUAAUCCUGGUCGGACAUCAGGAGGUUAGUGCAAUGGCAUAAGCCAGCUUGACUGCGAGCGUGACGGCGCGAGCAGGUGCGAAAGCAGGUCAUAGUGAUCCGGUGGUUCUGAAUGGAAGGGCCAUCGCUCAACGGAUAAAAGGUACUCCGGGGAUAACAGGCUGAUACCGCCCAAGAGUUCAUAUCGACGGCGGUGUUUGGCACCUCGAUGUCGGCUCAUCACAUCCUGGGGCUGAAGUAGGUCCCAAGGGUAUGGCUGUUCGCCAUUUAAAGUGGUACGCGAGCUGGGUUUAGAACGUCGUGAGACAGUUCGGUCCCUAUCUGCCGUGGGCGCUGGAGAACUGAGGGGGCUGCUCCUAGUACGAGAGGACCGGAGUGGACGCAUCACUGGUGUUCGGGUUGUCAUGCCAAUGGCACUGCCCGGUAGCUAAAUGCGGAAGAGAUAAGUGCUGAAAGCAUCUAAGCACGAAACUUGCCCCGAGAUGAGUUCUCCCUGACUCUUUAAGGGUCCUGAAGGAACGUUGAAGACGACGACGUUGAUAGGCCGGGUGUGUAAGCGCAGCGAUGCGUUGAGCUAACCGGUACUAAUGAACCGUGAGGCUUAACCUUACAACGCCGAAG
RNAcentral lists this ribosomal RNA (2924 nucleotides) under Escherichia coli. RNAcentral's name for it is "23S ribosomal RNA". It matches the Rfam family "Bacterial large subunit ribosomal RNA". The record is from RNAcentral. Lineage: Bacteria; Pseudomonadati; Pseudomonadota; Gammaproteobacteria; Enterobacterales; Enterobacteriaceae.